RNAcentral lists this transfer RNA (76 nucleotides) under Bacteroidia bacterium. RNAcentral describes it as "tRNA-Lys". It matches the Rfam family "tRNA". From Rfam's summary of the family: Transfer RNA (tRNA) molecules are approximately 80 nucleotides in length. Their secondary structure includes four short double-helical elements and three loops (D, anti-codon, and T loops). Lineage: Bacteria; Pseudomonadati; Bacteroidota; Bacteroidia. The record is from RNAcentral.
GGAAUCGUGAUGAAAUUGGCUAUCAUAACGGACUUUUAAUCCGUCUUUGCAGGUUCAAAUCCUGUCGAUUCCACCA